AUCCAGAUGACGAAUCCCGAACAAGGCGAAAUGUGCGUCCUGGAU
Molecule: non-coding RNA, 45 nt
Organism: Trichobilharzia regenti
Lineage: Eukaryota; Metazoa; Platyhelminthes; Trematoda; Strigeidida; Schistosomatidae
Source: Rfam